Harpia harpyja (harpy eagle) is the source of this 1393-nucleotide long non-coding RNA. RefSeq lists it as uncharacterized. The record is from RefSeq and is a predicted model, not a curated record. The transcript is spliced from 3 exons. NCBI's taxonomy places the organism in Eukaryota, Metazoa, Chordata, Aves, Accipitriformes, Accipitridae.
CCUACCCCGGCGGGUAGGGCACGGCGGCGGGGGCCGCCCCGGAGGCGGGCAGCCCCUUUACCCGGCGAUUUCCCAUAGCGAGGCGGGCAGCGGGUGUCCGUCCUUGCGCGCGGACCGCGGGAGGCACUAGGCGGCCUCUCGGGGUUCCGUCAGGUCGACGGCUUUUGGUUUCCUUUCUUUCGGGUACUCUGAGGAGAACAAGCUCUGAAAUUACCAGCAAACGAACUCCUGGGGUUCCCCUCUUAACUACAACGGCGGGUGGUCGCCGCCCCGAGCCUCCCGGCAGCAGACCCAGACCCGCUUCUGCGUUGGGGCUGUGGCGGUCCCUCCCCUCGGCCCCCGUCAGCGCCGUUCAAAAGGGGCGGUCGGCACCUGGCGGGGCUGGCUGAAGCGUCGUGCGUGUAGGUAGGUGAAAGACAUGUAAAAUGAUAUUCCAGGAUCUCAGAAAUGUGCCAAAGUCUUCUAGCAAAAAGGAGCAAUUGAGUAUCUAAUAUUAGCAAGCUCUGUAAUAAAAUAUUUAAGACAACAGUUUUGAUUUCAAGACUUGAGGGAUGGAGAACCGAACACAUACCCAAGUUGGGGCUUUCCCCCCUUCCUUAUUCUGAACUCGGCUAUAUUCUGCACUGAACUGCUGCAUCUUAAAUCCUUUCUUCCAGACUGGAGUCCAUGACUGAGAGCACCUGCCAAGUACUUGUACAUAAUAGAAUUGUAUUUUACUUACCCUUGGAUAAACUAAGCAGACUAGACUUCAUUCUUUCACUUAAGUAAGUUUUUCCAGAUUACCUUUUUAGCUUUAAUUGGCUAGGGUCUUUUAGGGGUUGGGUUGGUAUAGCUUCAUUUUCAGUGUGGGGAGAAGGUUUAUUCAAUGACUAAUGCUAAAAAUUGUUCUUGAUCUAGAUCAUUCCCUCAGCAGAACUGAGACUUGUGUAACGGGCACACAGUAGUAGGUGUUACAGGCAACCUUCGGAGACUGUCCUCCCAUACAUGUUCUCCUGCCUGCUUAGCAAAUACUUAGUUGUCAUACUGUAAACAUAAAACACACACCACACCUUACUAGUAUUACCGUAGGGCAAUGGCUGGAGUAACAAAACCCGCCAGCUACAACUUUAAGUGACAAUGGAAUCAAUACUGGAUAUUGGAAUAAACAGAAGUGAGAGAAACUUUACUUGCCAGAAAUUAAUCCAGCACUGGUUAAUCGAUGUUGUUUCAGCAAAUAUUACUACAGGCUUGUGGGCAAUGAACAGAGCUGAGUUUUAAGACUCUACUGGUCUAUUAAAAUGAUAUUUAUACUUAUUUUUGUCAUCAGUUUUGACUAAGAAACUUCCUGGAAAAACAAUCCCACCUUAAUUAUAGCAUAUGAGGUUCAGCUCUGAAGGCUCUUAAAAUUGUGUUU